This 881-nucleotide ribosomal RNA is filed under the name uncultured Actinomycetales bacterium. RNAcentral describes it as "bacterial SSU rRNA". It matches the Rfam family "Bacterial small subunit ribosomal RNA", at positions 28 to 924 of the family's 1533-position model. The record is from RNAcentral. Lineage: Bacteria; Bacillati; Actinomycetota; Actinomycetes; Actinomycetales.
GACGAACGCUGGCGGCGUGCUUAACACAUGCAAGUCGAGCGAUGAAACACCUUCGGGUGUGAAUUAGCGGCGAACGGGUGAGGAACACGUGAAGAAUCUGCCUUCAACUCUGGGAUAACUCCGGGAAACCGGGGCUAAUACCGGAUAUGAGCCUUGAUCGCAUGAUCGGGGCUGGAAAGUUUUUCGGUUGAAGAUGACUUCGCGGCCUAUCAGCUUGUUGGUGAGGUAAUGGCUCACCAAGGCGACGACGGGUAGCCGGCCUGAGAGGGCGACCGGCCACACUGGGACUGAGACACGGCCCAGACUCCUACGGGAGGCAGCAGUGGGGAAUAUUGGGCAAUGGAGGAAACUCUGACCCAGCGACGCCGCGUGAGGGAUGAAGGCCUUCGGGUUGUAAACCUCUUUCAGUAGGGAAGAAGCGAAAGUGACGGUACCUACAGAAGAAGCACCGGCUAACUAUGUGCCAGCAGCCGCGGUAAUACAUAGGGUGCAAGCGUUGUCCGGAAUUAUUGGGCGUAAAGAGCUCGUAGGUGGUUCGAUACGUCGGAUGUGAAAAUCAGGGGCUCAACCCCUGACCUGCAUCCGAUACGGUCGCGCUAGAGUUUGGUAGGGGAGACUGGAAUUCCUGGUGUAGCGGUGGAAUGCGCAGAUAUCAGGAGGAACACCGAUGGCGAAGGCAGGUCUCUGGGCCAAUACUGACACUGAGGAGCGAAAGCGUGGGGAGCGAACAGGAUUAGAUACCCUGGUAGUCCACGCCGUAAACGGUGGGCGCUAGUUGUGCGAACCUUCCACGGUUUGUGCGACGCAGCUAACGCAUUAAGCGCCCCGCCUGGGGAGUACGAUCGCAAGAUUAAAACUCAAAGGAAUUGACGGGGCCCCGC